This 849-nucleotide ribosomal RNA is filed under the name uncultured bacterium. Its description in RNAcentral is "bacterial SSU rRNA". It matches the Rfam family "Bacterial small subunit ribosomal RNA", at positions 51 to 890 of the family's 1533-position model. The record is from RNAcentral.
ACACAUGCAAGUCGAGGGGAAACGACAUCGAAAGCUUGCUUUUGAUGGGCGUCGACCGGCGCACGGGUGAGUAACGCGUAUCCAACCUGCCCACCACUUGGGGAUAACCUUGCGAAAGUAAGACUAAUACCCAAUGACGUCUCUAGAAGACAUCUGAAAGAGAUUAAAGAUUUAUCGGUGAUGGAUGGGGAUGCGUCUGAUUAGCUUGUUGGCGGGGUAACGGCCCACCAAGGCUACGAUCAGUAGGGGUUCUGAGAGGAAGGUCCCCCACAUUGGAACUGAGACACGGUCCAAACUCCUACGGGAGGCAGCAGUGAGGAAUAUUGGUCAAUGGACGAGAGUCUGAACCAGCCAAGUAGCGUGCAGGAUGACGGCCCUAUGGGUUGUAAACUGCUUUUAUAAGGGAAUAAAGUGAGUCUCGUGAGACUUUUUGCAUGUACCUUAUGAAUAAGGACCGGCUAAUUCCGUGCCAGCAGCCGCGGUAAUACGGAAGGUCCGGGCGUUAUCCGGAUUUAUUGGGUUUAAAGGGAGCGUAGGCCGGAGAUUAAGCGUGUUGUGAAAUGUAGAUGCUCAACAUCUGCACUGCAGCGCGAACUGGUUUCCUUGAGUACGCACAAAGUGGGCGGAAUUCGUGGUGUAGCGGUGAAAUGCUUAGAUAUCACGAAGAACUCCGAUUGCGAAGGCAGCUCACUGGAGCGCAACUGACGCUGAAGCUCGAAAGUGCGGGUAUCGAACAGGAUUAGAUACCCUGGUAGUCCGCACGGUAAACGAUGGAUGCCCGCUGUUGGUCUGAAUAGGUCAGCGGCCAAGCGAAAGCAUUAAGCAUCCCACCUGGGGAGUACGCCGGCA